UGAACUUAGUGUAUGUAAACUUCUGACCCAGUGGAAUUGUGAAACAGUGAAGUUUAAGUGAAAUAAUCUCUCUAAACAAUUGCUGGAAAAAUUACUUCUGUCAUGCACAAAGUAGAUGUCCUAACCGACUUGCCAAAACUAUAGUUUGUUAAUUAACAAGAAAUGUGUGGAGUGGUUGAAAAACGAGUUUUAAUGACUCCAACCUAAGUGUAUGUAAUCUUCCGACUUCAACUGUAUGUACUGUAUGUGUUUAGUACACGUGUCCACAGGCAUAUGUAUGUAAAUAGUCUUUAGAUAGCAGUCCUCUCUCUGACAUCACAAACAAGUUGAUGUUUUGUUGGACAGGAGACACCACUCCUCCAGUACUUUCUCCCUCUCUCUAUGUGUGUGUGAUUGUGUGGGCGGAGACAGGUGUGCUGGAGUCAGAGCAGAUCCCCACCAGCUGCAACCUGUUCCAUAAUCAAGACCUCUACAAAUACUCAGCCCUGCCACUUCCACGCUGCUGGAUCGUAAUCUCUGCUCAUUCUGCCUGCUCUGACUCUGGUCCCUGUCUCCAGUCCCACGUCUCGUAAUUGUGCUACUCUGUCCUGAAUUCCCCACUCUACUACUCCCUUGGAUUCCCCUGAGGCUCCAGCCUCAGCCUCCGCACCUGGUUUCCAGCAACCCGCCCGAGCUUCCCCUGACCUGCACUCCAUCUCCCCCCUGUGUUUCAAUAAAUACCUUGGUUACUUCAUCCCAGUCUCCUCGUCUGAGUCUGCUCUUGGGUUCCACUCCGCGUAACAGGCAUUCAGGCCAAAUA
Molecule: non-coding RNA, 799 nt
Organism: Salmo salar (Atlantic salmon)
Lineage: Eukaryota; Metazoa; Chordata; Actinopteri; Salmoniformes; Salmonidae
Source: RefSeq, a predicted model, not a curated record